GGCCGCGGGAAUUCGAUUCAGGCCUAACACAUGCAAGUCGAGCGAGAAACCUGCAAAUGAAGUUUCGACAGAUUUUACAGGCGGAAAGCGGCGGACGGGUGAGUAACGCGUAGGCAACCUGCCCCUUGCACAGGGAUAGCCUCGGGAAACCGGGAUUAAAACCUGAUAACACCGCACUUUCACAUGUAAGAGCGGUCAAAGAUUUAUCGGCAAGGGAUGGGCCUGCGUCUGAUUAGUUAGUUGGUGGGGUAACGGCUCACCAAGGCAAUGAUCAGUAGCCGACCUGAGAGGGUGAUCGGCCACAUUGGAACUGAGACACGGUCCAAACUCCUACGGGAGGCAGCAGUGGGGAAU
Molecule: ribosomal RNA, 354 nt
Filed under: uncultured bacterium
Lineage: Bacteria
Description: bacterial SSU rRNA
Rfam family: Bacterial small subunit ribosomal RNA
Source: RNAcentral